AAAAAUAUAUAUAAAAAUUGAGGAUACGGGGAGGGGAAUUGAACUGAGUUCAGGUAGGGAGCCAACCAACUAAGCUACUAAAAUUCUGCUCACAAAACACCCACUACUCAAAAGUUGUAAAACACAAAAUAUAAUUGCUACAAACUCUAUAUGCUAGUGAAUUCAAGCAAGGCAAGCAAAUUGUGUUUGGGGUUUUAGCUUGAGA
RNAcentral lists this unclassified non-coding RNA (205 nucleotides) under Hevea brasiliensis (rubber tree). Lineage: Eukaryota; Viridiplantae; Streptophyta; Magnoliopsida; Malpighiales; Euphorbiaceae. The record is from RNAcentral.